Molecule: ribosomal RNA, 253 nt
Filed under: uncultured bacterium
Lineage: Bacteria
Description: partial 16S ribosomal RNA
Rfam family: Bacterial small subunit ribosomal RNA
Source: RNAcentral
UACGUAGGGGGCAAGCGUUAUCCGGAAUUACUGGGUGUAAAGGGAGCGUAGACGGUAAUGUAAGUCUGGAGUGAAAGGCGGGGGGCCAACCCCCGGACUGCUCUGGAAACUAUGUUACUAGAGUGCAGGAGAGGUAAGCGGAAUUCCUAGUGUAGCGGUGAAAUGCGUAGAUAUUAGGAGGAACACCAGUGGCGAAGGCGGCUUACUGGACUGUAACUGACGUUGAGGCUCGAAAGCGUGGGGAGCAAACAGG